UGUUGUUGUUGUGUGUCCUGGCUAAAGAGACUCACCAUGGCCAUGUUGACCGUUCUUCUGCUUCUCAGUGCUGCCUUUGCUCUGGGAGACGCAAUUUCAUCCGGAAACCGCUUGUGUCCCCCCGG
Molecule: long non-coding RNA, 125 nt
Organism: Coregonus clupeaformis (lake whitefish)
Lineage: Eukaryota; Metazoa; Chordata; Actinopteri; Salmoniformes; Salmonidae
Exons: 3
Source: RefSeq, a predicted model, not a curated record